Molecule: ribosomal RNA, 403 nt
Filed under: uncultured Caulobacteraceae bacterium
Lineage: Bacteria; Pseudomonadati; Pseudomonadota; Alphaproteobacteria; Caulobacterales; Caulobacteraceae
Description: bacterial SSU rRNA
Rfam family: Bacterial small subunit ribosomal RNA
Source: RNAcentral
UGGGGAAUCUUGCGCAAUGGGCGAAAGCCUGACGCAGCCAUGCCGCGUGGAUGAUGAAGGUCUUAGGAUUGUAAAAUCCUUUCAGCGGGGACGAUAAUGACGGUACCCGCAGAAGAAGCCCCGGCUAACUUCGUGCCAGCAGCCGCGGUAAUACGAAGGGGGCUAGCGUUGCUCGGAAUUACUGGGCGUAAAGGGAGCGUAGGCGGAUCGUUUAGUCGGGGUGAAAUCCCGGGGCUCAACCUCGGAACUGCCUUCGAUACUGGCGAUCUUGAGUAUGGGAGAGGUGUGUGGAACUCCGAGUGUAGAGGUGAAAUUCGUAGAUAUUCGGAAGAACACCAGUGGCGAAGGCGACACACUUGGCCCAUUUACUGACGCUGAGGCUCGAAAGCGUGGGGAGCAAACA